GGAAAAUAAGAACAUGGGCCAAUGGGGAGAAACACUGAGCUAGAAGUCAGGAAAUUGCUUUGAUCAGCUCUGUUACCAAGACAAGUAACAAGUGCCAGCUCCACUCAGCAAGCAGGCACCUUUCUUUUGGUUUCAGCUGAGGUUCCAGGAGCUACAGCUGGAUAGGGCCAGAGAGCAUGAAACUAUAAGAAAGGGUCUUAUAUAAAAUUGAGCCCUGAAAACAGAAAUAGUCUGAAGGCUGCUGUGCAGAGAGGCAAAGAGAGAGUUGCCACCAGGUGACCAUGGGAAGGGAUCAGGGGAAGAGAAGCAGAGUCCCAAGGCAAAACCAGAGCAAAUCUCUUAACAAGCCCAUAUACAUAGCAGGUAUGUUUUAUGUUGUUCCACUGCCACAAUGCUGGAUAGGAGAUUAUCUCUUAAGGACACCAAGUCAGUUCAAAUAUCCUCCAUGUCUUGUUACUCAAAGUGAAAUUCAUGAACUAAUGCAUUGGAUAACUAAUGCAGAAUCUCAGCUCCAUUUCAGAUCUACUGAAUCUACUGCCUUUUUUGUUUAUUUCUUUGUUUGUUUGGUUUUGGCACUGGAGAUUGAACCCAGGGGUGCUUUGCCACUUAACUACACCCCUAUCCCUUUUUAACUUUUAUUUUAAGAUAGAGUCUUGCUAAGUUGCUUAGGACCUCACCAAUUUGUGGAGGUUGGGAUCAAACUUGCCAUUCUCCUGCCCUCAAUCUGCCAAUUUGCUGGGAUUUUAGGUGUACACCACCACGCAUGAUUUAGCCUGCAUUUUUAACAAGGUCACUGGUUGAUUCUCAUGCCCCUUAAAGUUCGAGAAGUAUUGUCAGUGAAUCAAUUGUGUUUGCAUGUUUCCGGGUUGUCUAUGAGUACCUUGUUAAGGAUUUCCAACAGGGAGGAAGAGGCAUAAUUCCAACAGGCAUCUUAGGAAGUAUGCCUGGACACUUGGGUUGUCACGGUGAGUCACACUGAUAUUUAGUGGCCAGGUGCCAGGGAUGCUUAAACAUCCUGCAAAUUAUGGGAUGGUUCUACAGAGUAAAAAAAAAAUUGUCCUCUCCAAAUGAGAGUAAUUUUCCUGGUAAGAAACAUGUUGGCAAUUUCUUCAUCUGUAAAAUAAGCAUUUGGGUUUAUUUGGAUUUCAAUGUUUCUCCCGUCUCUAAGACUCUUUUGUUCUACCACUGUUUUCACAUUGAUUUAGAAAAUUCUCAUUGCUCCCUCUAAUUAUGGCUUCUAUGUUCCUAAGUCAUUUUUAUUUAGACAAUCCAAUGGAACUAGUCAUAGGGAUUAACCAUAAAUUCAUAUCAUUCCCUCAUAAAUAUAUCUUGCUCAUUUAGGUUAAGACUCAGAGAACUCUUUUAGUCAAUUAUGAUGCUGAUAAAACAAAGCAAUCUGGAAAUGCUUAUAAUCAGCAAAGAUUUUUGCUAGGUAGAAAUUUAAAGACCUUCCUUGUCUGGUCAGAUUUUAGUUGAAGUGACUGUCUCCCCACCUCACCUCUAGCUGAAGGUCUUGCUGGGUUGGCAUGGGAAAAGGGACAUUGAUGAGAUGCCCUUCUCUAGAAACUUCUUCCAUUGUCUGUAAAGAAAGAACAACUGGGGCUGGGAUACAGCACUCACCUAGCACAGGCGGGACCCGGGUUUGAUCCUCAG
RNAcentral lists this long non-coding RNA (1653 nucleotides) under Marmota monax (woodchuck). Lineage: Eukaryota; Metazoa; Chordata; Mammalia; Rodentia; Sciuridae. The record is from RNAcentral.